ACGCACGCUGGCGGCGUGCUUCACCCAUGCCAGUCGAACGGAAAGGCCCUGCUUUUGUGGGGUGCUCGAGUGGCGAACGGGUGAGUAACACGUGAGUAACCUGCCCUCGACUUUGGGAUAACUUCAGGAAACUGGGGCUAAUACCGGAUAGGAGCUCCUGCUGCAUGGUGGGGGUUGGAAAGUUUCGGCGGUUGGGGAUGGACUCGCGGCUUAUCAGCUUGUUGGUGGGGUAGUGGCUUACCAAGGCUUUGACGGGUAGCCGGCCUGAGAGGGUGACCGGCCACAUUGGGACUGAGAUACGGCCCAGACUCCUACGGGAGGCAGCAGUGGGGAAUAUUGCACAAUGGGCGGAAGCCUGAUGCAGCAACGCCGCGUGCGGGAUGACGGCCUUCGGGUUGUAAACCGCUUUCGCCUGUGACGAAGCGUGAGUGACGGUAAUGGGUAAAGAAGCACCGGCUAACUACGUG
Molecule: ribosomal RNA, 467 nt
Filed under: uncultured bacterium
Lineage: Bacteria
Description: partial 16S ribosomal RNA
Rfam family: Bacterial small subunit ribosomal RNA
Source: RNAcentral